This 468-nucleotide ribosomal RNA is filed under the name uncultured bacterium. Its description in RNAcentral is "partial 16S ribosomal RNA". It matches the Rfam family "Bacterial small subunit ribosomal RNA", at positions 28 to 507 of the family's 1533-position model. The record is from RNAcentral.
GACGAACGCUGGCGGCGUGCUUAACACAUGCAAGUCGAACGGAAAGGCCCUGCUUUUGUGGGGUGCUCGAGUGGCGAACGGGUGAGUAACACGUGAGUAACCUGCCCUUGACUUUCGUAUAACUUCAGGAAACUGGGGCUAAUACCGUAUAGGAUCUCCUGCUGCAUGGUGGGCGUUGGAUAGUUUCGGCGGUUGGGGAUGGACUCGCGGCUUAUCAGCUUGUUGGUGGGGUAGUGGCUUACCAAGCCUUUGACGGGUAGGCGGCCUGGGAGGGUGACCGGCGACAAGGGGACUAAGGGAGGCAGCAGACGGGAACGGUGGGCAGCAGGGGGGAGUAUGACACAGUGGGAGCAAGUGGGAGGCAGAGGCGUUCGGGUCGUGAAGACGGUUUGUUGGUUGAAAAAAGCAGCCGCCUGUUACGAAGCGGGAGUGACGGUACCGGGUAAAUAAGCACCGGCUAACUACGUG